UGGAAAAUUGGUAAUGGCAAAAGGAUCAGAUUCUGGGAGGACCAUUGGUUUGGAAAUGCCACCUUGGCUACCCAGUAUUGGGACCUAUAUGUUCUUGCUAAUGAGCAUAAUGCCACCAUUGAUAAAAUUUGGGAUGGUAGUAACCUUAAAAUUACUUUCCGGAGAUGUUUCACUCAGGAGAUUAUGUCUCUGUGGUUUGAGCUCUUGGAAAUAGCCAGUUCUAUUCAUCUCACUGUAGAGGAUGACUCCCCUGUAUGGAAUAUGAAUUCCAAAGGGGUAUACUCUGUUAAAUCCUUUUAUAAGUUCAUAAAUUUCAGAGGUGUGUUGCUUAGUAGUUCCCCUGCCAUUUGGAAGAUCAAAAUUCCUCCUAGAAUUCAGAUCUUUCUCUGGCUCUUGACUAAUAACAAGUUGUUAACCAGAGAUAAUUUGUCCAAAAGGCAGGAGGUAGGCGAUUUCACCUGUGUUUUUUGCACUGAAUAA
RNAcentral lists this ribosomal RNA (480 nucleotides) under Triticum aestivum (bread wheat). RNAcentral's name for it is "partial small subunit ribosomal RNA". The record is from RNAcentral. Lineage: Eukaryota; Viridiplantae; Streptophyta; Magnoliopsida; Poales; Poaceae.